This is a non-coding RNA of Caerostris darwini, 81 nucleotides long. The record is from the annotation of a GenBank genome assembly. NCBI's taxonomy places the organism in Eukaryota, Metazoa, Arthropoda, Arachnida, Araneae, Araneidae.
UCGUUAGAUCACCGAAGUCAAGCAUCAUUGGGCGCGGUCAGUACUUGGGUGGGUGACCACCUGGGAACACCACGUGCCGUU